AUCGAACGCUAGCGGGAUGCUUUACACAUGCAAGUCGAACGAGUGGCGGACGGGUGAGUAAUAUAUCGGAACGUGCCUAGUAGCGGGGGAUAACUACUCGAAAGAGUGGCUAAUACCGCCUACUAUUGGAUCGGCCGAGAUUGGAUGAGCUAGCUGGUGGGGUAAAGGCUCACCAAGGCAACGAUCCGUAGCUGGUCUGAGAGGCGGACCGGCCACACUGGGACUGAGACACGGCCCAGACUCCUACGGGAGGCAGCAGGGGGGAAUCUUGGAAAAUGGGGGAAACCCUGAGCAAGCCAUCCCGCGUGUAUGAGAAGGCCUUCGGGUUGUAAAGUACUGUUGGCAGAGAAGCGGUAUCUGAAGAAAAAGCAACGGCUAACUACGUGCCAGCAGCCGCGGUAAUAC
Molecule: ribosomal RNA, 405 nt
Filed under: uncultured bacterium
Lineage: Bacteria
Description: partial 16S ribosomal RNA
Rfam family: Bacterial small subunit ribosomal RNA
Source: RNAcentral